Molecule: ribosomal RNA, 1481 nt
Filed under: uncultured Bordetella sp.
Lineage: Bacteria; Pseudomonadati; Pseudomonadota; Betaproteobacteria; Burkholderiales; Alcaligenaceae
Description: partial 16S-23S ribosomal RNA intergenic spacer
Rfam family: Bacterial small subunit ribosomal RNA
Source: RNAcentral
GGUUCGAUUCUGGCCUGGAUUGAACGCUGGCGGGAUGCUUUACACAUGCAAGUCGAACGGCAGCACGGACUUCGGUCUGGUGGCGAGUGGCGAACGGGUGAGUAAUGUAUCGGAACGCCUAGUAGCGGGGGAUAAUCAUGCUGAAAGCGUGAAGCAUACCGCAUACGCUCCUUUCGGGGGAAAGCGGGGACCUUCGGGCCUCGCACUAUUAGAGCGUGCCGAUAUCGGAUUAGCUAGUUGGUGGGGUAACGGCUCACCAAGGCGACGAUCCGUAGCUGGUUUGAGAGGACGACCAGCCACUGGGACUGAGACACGGCCCAGACUCCUACGGGAGGCAGCAGUGGGGAAUUUUGGACAAUGGGGGGAAACCUCGAUCCAGCCAUCCCGCGUGUGCGAUGAAGCGCCUCGGGUUGUAAAGCACUUUUUGGCAGGAAAGAAACGGCACGGGAUAAUACCCCCGUGCAACUGACGGUAAAUUCCGCAGAAUAAGCACCGGCUAACUACGUGCCAGCAGCCGCGGUAAUACGUAGGGUGCAAGCGUUAAUCGAAUUACUGGGCGUAAAGCGUGGCGGCAGGCGGUUCGGAAAGAAAUCCCAGAGCUUAACUUUGGAACUGCAUUUUUAACUACUGAGCCAGAGUGUGUCAGAGGGAGGUGGAAUUCCGCGUGUGUAGCAGUGAAAUGCGUAGAUAUGCGGAGGAACACCGAUGGCGAAGGCAGCCUCCUGGGAUAACACUGACGCUCAUGCACGAAAGCGUGGGGAGCAAACAGAUUAGAUACCCUGGUAGUCCACGCCCUAAACGAUGUCAACUAGCUGUUGGGGCCUUCGGGCCUUGGUAGCGCAGCUAACGCGUGAAGUUGACCGCCUGUGAGCAUGGUCGCAAGAUUAAAACUCAAAGGAAUUGACGGGGACCCGCACAAGCGGUGGAUGAUGUGGGAUUAAUCUGAUACAACGCGAAAACCUUACCUACCUCGGACAUGUUGGAAUCCCGAAGAGAUUUGGGAGUGCUCGCAAGAGAACCGGAACACAGGUGCUGCAUGGCUGUCGUCGCUCGUGUCGUGAGAUGUUGGGUUAAGUCUCGCAACGAGCGCAACCUUGUCAUUAGUUGCUACGAAAGGGCACUCUAAUGAGACUGCCGGUGACAAACCGGAGGAAGGUGGGGAUGACGUCAAGUCCUCAUGGCCCUUAUGGGUAGGGCUUGCCACGUCAUACAAUGGUCGGGAUGAGGGUCGCCAACUCCGCGAGGGGGAGCCAAUCCCAGAAACCCGAUCGUAGUCCGGAUCGCAGUCUGCAACUCGACUGCGUGAAGUCGGAAUCGCUAGUAAUCGCGGAUCAGCAUGUCGCGGUGAAUACGUUCCCGGGUCUUGUACACACCGCCCGUCACACCAUGGGAGUGGGUUUUACCAGAAGUAGUUAGCCUAACCGUAAGGAGGGCGAUUACCACGGUAGGAUUCAUGAUCAGGUGAAGUCGUAACAAGGUAA